AUUGAACGCUGGCGGCAUGCUUUACACAUGCAAGUCGCACGAGUGGCGAACGGGUGAGUAAUAUAUCGGAACGUACCGAGUAAUGGGGUAUAACCAAUCUCAAGCUUGGCUCAUACCGCAUAUUCUUUGAUCGGCCGAUCACUGAUUAGCUAGUGGGGGGGGUAAAGGCCUACCAAGGCGACGAUCAGUAGCGGGUCGGAGAGGACGAGCCGCCACACUGGGACGGAGCCACGGCACAGACUCCGACGGGAGUCAGCAGUGGGGAAUUUUGGGCGAUGGGGGCAACCCUGAUCAAGACAUGCAGUGUGUAGGAAGAAGGCCGUAGGGAUGUAAAGUACUUGGGUUAGGGAAGAGGUACCUAAAGAAUAAGCACCGGCUAACUACGUGCCAGCAGCUGCGGUAAUUC
This 406-nucleotide ribosomal RNA is filed under the name uncultured bacterium. RNAcentral's name for it is "partial 16S ribosomal RNA". It matches the Rfam family "Bacterial small subunit ribosomal RNA", at positions 30 to 526 of the family's 1533-position model. The record is from RNAcentral.